This 35265-nucleotide long non-coding RNA is filed under the name Vitis vinifera (wine grape). RNAcentral describes it as "long non-coding RNA (VVIN_LNC006532)". The record is from RNAcentral. Lineage: Eukaryota; Viridiplantae; Streptophyta; Magnoliopsida; Vitales; Vitaceae.
GAAAGAAUUUCUCGCACUUCAACUAAAAUUACUUACAAACGCAAUCUGGUGUUCCUCACAUAAGAUGUAACGAUCUAAAUUAGAAAAGAUUAAAAAAAAAAAAAAAUUAAAAAUGAGUUAAACGCAUUGAAAUUCAAAUAAGCAAUAAGCAUUCUUAUCGCUAUGUAUGCCGUAUUGGGAUGACUUUUUGAGAGGAGCAAGAUGAACGGUGAGGAUGGAAGUAAAGUUGGAAAAUUAGGGUGCAAGGGAGACCUAGGGUUUUUGCAGAGUAGUAUAAAAGGGGAUCAGCCUAAGCCAUGUAUACACAGUAGAUAUGAGCCGCAGUGGGGAAUUGGGAGAGGGAGCUGGGUCAUCUGAAGCUUGCGGUAUGGGUGGGCCGGGAAAAAAUUCGAAAUCCUUCAGGGUUCUCAUUUCUUGCCGACUCCACCCAUACCUAUGGUUUCAGAUUUCUCCUCCUUCUCCCUCAUUCAUCCCGUCUCUUUGAUAAAAGCUCUAGGAUCCUUGUCUUUUAUGAUAUUUUUGUGGUUCGAUUUGACUUGAACUUGAAGCUACUAUAAUUUGCUUUCGUGUUUUUGCAGAUGACCAAGGUUGAAGAUGAUGAUCUAGGGUUUUGUUGUGGGAUGCUGUGAAAUUUCGAGAUCUAUUAGAUCUACGGAAAUCUGGAUGCUUGUAUAUAAUUUUUUCUUCACUAUCUAGUUUAUUGAGCGAAGCUCUCUUUGUGGAUCUGGAUACGAAAUGUUGUGAAAUGGGAAAAAAUUUGUAAACACACCCAAAAAAAUAUGUGAAUCUGAAUGUGAAAUGGCGUGAAAUUUCAAAAUUUAAAAUUUGGGUUAUUCUUUUAUCAGAAGUGAGAAAAAUUUGCAAGCACAUCCCAAAAAAUUAAAUUAUUAUGUUCCAACCCAAAAAAUUUAUAUGCGAAGAUGCGUUUUUCCAGUAAAAAUGUAGAGAUGAAAAAUCAUUAUUUCUAAUUUCUACCCAUCAUAAGAAUAUAAAGGGAUAGCAUCGCCAAAUGCCAUCUAGGUUAUGGCAAACGGCAAUUAGAUGUAAUUAUAAUUAUGUGAAGGGGGCGGGCCCACAUUACUUGGAGAAGAGGAAAAGGUUGGUCUAAAAUCCAACGGUUGUGGGCAAGGGUUUUUAAUCCAACGGGUUAAAAAAGGGGUAGGGUCGUGAGAGCACUAUAUAAGGAGAUAACAUGUAGGGGUUUAUUCACGCUGAAGGAGGAAAAGGGAGAGGGGGUUUAGGGUUUUCAGAAGCUUGUGGGAUGAGCGUGUCGGAAUGGAGGGAAAUAGAAUUCUCCUCCAUUCGAAAUCAGAGUCCUUUCCGACUCCGCUCAUUCCAUUGGCUUCAGAUCACUCCUCCCUCUCCCUCAAACCUCCCAUUUUCUGUUCCAGAUGCCUGAUAUCUGUCUGAUUCGAUUUUCGUUUUUUUGGUGUUCUUGUUAUUGGUUUUUUUUUUUUCUCUUGCAGAUCUCUCUUCUGUGGAUUGUGGAUUGUGGAGCGGUCGGGUUGAUCCGUGGAUCUGUGAUUGCGUUUUGAAGCUUGAUUCUCUGGAGUUUGUCAUAUUUUUGUUGUGAUAAAUUUUAUCCAUGGUUUAUAAGUGUACUUCCGUGGAUCUGUGUUUUUUAGGGUUUCAUUUUUUGGUGUUUCCCUCGAAGUCGAAGUCAUUGUCUGACGAAUACUGAUAAAUGAUAUAGAUUAACGUGUGUGACCGGCUAUGGCUGAGGGUUUCAUCUUUUGGCGCUUCCCUCGAAGUCAUUUCCUGACGAAUACUGAUAAAAAAUAUUGAUUAACGUGUGCGACCGGACAUGAAUGAGAAAUUAUUGAACGGGAUUCUAGUCCCUACUUCCUCCUUGGUUUAUAUAACUAUAAAAAGAAAAGUUAUUUCAUUUAUUUUUAUUUUUCUUUUUUUUUUUUAUAAAAUUUAUAACAUAUAUUUUGUAGUAAUUAAAAUUUUCGAGGAAUCCGACGAGGUUUGAACCCAUCCCUAUUUUGGAUUGCAUCCCAAUCCGAACCAAGCAAAUGGUAGAUAAAACGUUUUUAAAGGUAUACCGUUUAAAAUUUUGAAUUUUUUGUUUGUGAAAUUUAUUAAUCUUCAAAAGAUUAUUAUUAUUAUUAUUUAAAUUAUAUUUAAAGAAAAGAAAUAAUUUUUAAAAUGGAAAAAGAUAAAUUUCUAACAUUCGGCGAAGGUGGAGCAUUGGGACAAGUUCACAUUGGAUGGCUAUGAAACUUGGAAGAUUUAUUCGUCUCAAAGUGGGAAAGCAUAUUAUAAAGUCCAAUUCUGUAUUUGAGUACAAAUGCUAUAUUUAGUAAGGAAUCUAAUAUUUUUUUUAUUUUUAUUUUUUAUUUUUAAAUUUCAUGGGCUUUAUGUUCUCCACGGUAAGGUACACCUGAAUCUUCAUGUUGCAUUAGGGGUAUCUUAGAGUUUGGGCAUUUUUUUCAUGUGCUAAGUUCUGAAAUAACAUUGUUACAAGCAAAAAUUAAGUAACGUCUAAAUAGGUCUGAAAUAUCAAUCAGACUUGAGUCCAACAUUCAAUAAGUUUAUAAAUAAUAUGUAAUAGAAAAAUCUUUAUAAGUUUAUAAAUAUGUAUUUCUUUAUAUAAAUGCAAUGUUAUAUUUAAGAAAAAAUAAAUAUAUAUAUUGAAAAAAAAAAAAAAGGCAUUCAUGAAUUUUACUUAUUGAAAUUAAAUAUAUAUGAAAAAUAGUUAAUUCUUGCAAUUUAAUUGAUAUUGGUUUAAUUAAUAAUUUUUUGGAUAUAGUGAUUCUAAUCUUGUUCAUUUUAUUUUAUUUUAUUUAAAAUUAUUUAAUUUUUUUAAAAUUAUAUUAAAAUAAAUAUAUUUUAUAAAUAAUGAAAUAUUAUAUUUUUAUAAAUUAUUUUAUUAAAAAAUAUUUUUUUAUUUUACAUGUGAUAAUAAAAUUUAAAUUAAUUUAAUUUAAAAAAAAAUCUUAAAUGCCAAUUUCGAAUUUAAAACAAAAAGGAAAUCCUAAAUUUGUUAUUAUUUUAUUUAUUUAAAUUUCAAAUCUAUGUCGUCAUAGAUUAUGAUAGGCCAUUAUCAUGCUAGGUGAAGGGUCAUAUAUUGCAUUGAAUAUUAGAGAUAACAUUGAAAAAGUAGCAAAAUAUUGGUGAUAUUUAAUGGAUGCCGAAAGCAAAUAUGGUGGAGAAAUAUUAGAGCUACUAUUUUUCAAAAAACUGGGUAGAAAACCAUUGAUAGGCUUGGAGAUGAAGAUUAGUUUUGGUCGAUUUAUUCCCAUUUUUUUUCUUCACUUUUUAUAGCAGAUUUUUAGGAUGUUUCAUCAUGUGUUGUUGACAGAUCAUGAAGCUAAAAAUAGUGAAAAAAAAUCUUAGAGCCGUUGUUGUUGGAGUUGUAUGACAUGGUUCAACAACUAUUUUGAUUGAAUUAUUUGGUCCCAUUCAUUAUCAAUGGGAUAGGGAUGCUUCCGAUAAGAAAUAUAUUGAUGCAAUUUUUGUUGUGGUUGGAACUAUGUUGUAUGGUUCAACAACUGCCUUAUCGAAUUAUUUAGUCCCAUUCAUUAUCAAUGGGCCGGGGAUACUUCCAACUAGAAUUGAAGAGUUGGUGUUGGACUGGUCGAGAAUCAAAGUUUAUCGGAAGUGGUAUAAAAUUCUUGAAAAACUAGCUUUUUAUGAUUACAUCAAGAAGCUAAUAGAAAAUCAAAGUUUAUUAGAAGUUUCGUCUAAUUUUUUUUUAAAAAUUUCCUUUUAUGAUUACUUUUGCAAUAAUCCAGUAAUUCGAUUUGCAAUAUUCUUAAAAAGUUUAGUAUUUGAACUCUGAUUUACACACUAUUUAAAAGUUUAAUAUUUGAAUCCUGAUUUGCGUACUAUUUAAAGCGUUGGACUCCUAAUUUCUUAGAAUUUGAAAUGAUAUAUAGCAUACCCAAAAAUGACACCAAAUUUCACCUCAAAUUUAAAGUAGGCCAAAUUUUGAGUUUCAAAUUUCUAUGUGAACUUCAUUACAUUUACUUUAAACCUCCUUCAUUAUGGUCUUUUAUCCUUUUUUUCACUUGGUAACAUCCGUUACUAGUAUUUCAUGCUUAUGACUUGCUCAUUAUGCCCUUGCUUGAACUCUUCAUGGUUUAUAACUCUAGAGUCUCUUAUUUAUGCAUAUUUAAUCCUUUCUACUCCCUUAGUUGAUAAUGAAAUUUGGAAAUUAGGCUCAAAAUAAAAGUAGAUCCAUAACUAGGGUUUUAACAUUAAUUUGAGUUAAGUUAGAUGAUUUGACCUUUUUAUAUUGUAUGAAUCAUAUCAUAUUUGUGUUAUUAGAACACAUAUAUUGACUCCAAAUAAUUACAGAUUGAACAUGACGUACAAUGAAUUAUGAUGUAAAAUUAUCAAAUUGUCAUGAUUCAUCAAGUUACUAGGUUGCAUGGACUUUCAACCUUGAAAGGAUAUUAAGCAUAUGUUGAAAUCAACCAGUGACUUUGACCUAUGGGUGAGAUUUUAAAGUAGUCAUAUAAGUGGACUAUUAAUAGAGACACUAUAAUAUUUCAUAAGAUUAAGACAGUAUAUUCUCUUAGGUGAUCUAAAUGACAUAUUAUUAUGAAAUCUGUGAUCACAAUAAUUUCUUUAAUAUAAUUUGAAAUAUGCUCCUUAGAGUUAGAGUAUUUUAGUUAAGUAGAUAAUAUGAGGAUGUGUAACUUAAGGAUUAGAGAGGUAAUCUUAAUAGGUUGAUAGUACUAUCUUAUUAAAUUAAAGAUACUAGUUCAUGGGGAGUUUGGAUGCAAUGGAUAAUAGACCAUAAACUCAAGCUUUGUUUUGUUAUAAUUUCAUAAGAUAUUGGAGUGUAGUUGACUUUUUUUAGUAAAGUGUUUAGUCGAUUUCAAAAUUGAAUUAUAAGAGAGUUAAUAUUUUUUAUGUUUCCCUUGACUUUUGUUUUUAUAAACUUUCCCCGAGUCAAUUGAGUUCUUCUAGGUUCGUGCUUAGAUAGCUCAAACUUCUCUUAAUAUAAAGAGCAUAGAAAUGUUAAAACUCUUUGCCCCAAAACUUUUAUUUUUAAUAAUUAAAGGCCUUUCUGGAUCCUCUCUCUCUUUAUAUUUAGUUUUGUGCUUUUCUUUUCGUGUCCCCAAUUUCAACCUUAUGUUCUUUAGUCAACCUGUAAAUAUAGCAUUUUAGUGAACCAUGGUUGGUACCUAAAUUUUGGUCUCCUGUUUGUAUAAAAUGACCAUGAAAAGGAUGAAUAACCAGCGCGUGACAUAAAUUAAAACCUGGAAUUGGGAUAAUUUGAAAAUUGAAACUCAUGGGUUAAAUCCAAACCCAGAGCAAUUGGCUCUAUAAAAUACCAUAUGAGUGGAGGUCUGUGCCAAAAUCUUGAAGGAUUAUCUUGGAUUAACAACACUAGUCUUGAAGUGGGGUUUUUCCUUCUUUCAAAGCCCGGAAUUAUAAGCUAUUGAAUUUUGAAUGUGGAGAAUAUUUGUGCAUAAGCAACCAUUUUUGUCUGAUGAAAUUGACAACUUAGAAAAUAGGACAUUAUUGCUCAAUGUUGUUAUUGAAAAUGAUAAAAAGUGAAUGCUUGAAAUAUAAGAUGCAGCUCAAAUUUUCAACCCUGAAUUAGCUCUUGAUCUCCUGAUUUCACAAUACCCUGAAGCUAGUGUUAGCUCUCGGUCUCCUGAUUCAUAUUGUGAAAUCAACGGUAAAAAAAUGGUUAAAUUUCUUGAAGCAAUAAAUAUGUUGCUUUGCAAGCUUUUUGUGCCCAACUACAAUGAGGAAUGAAUGAUAAACAAUUUUGAAGCAAAUGAAAGAAAUAGACAGAAUGAUAGGAGCUUCAAAAGAAGUGAAAAUAUGUUGAAGAAAGAGACUAUGGAGGAGUGCCACUGAGCAAAUAGUGGAGAAGUGCCGCCAAAUAACUAGGGGUAGGUAUGUUGAAGAACAACUUUGGAAGAGGAAUGUCACCUAAAUUCCUGCCUCUCAACAACAAUGGUGGAAUGCUGGUCUUUAUACGCCCAGAUUAUGGUACCUUUAUUUUGAUUUAUCUUUAGGUUUUUGGGUUUAGUAACAAGAAACCUAGGAAUAAGCAAUCAACCUAUUUCUAAGCAACACUAAACCUAGGGAUAAACGAAAGCACAAUUAAAGACCAUGAAUUUCUAUUUACAUCCAUGAAACUUAUUAUAACCCUUAGGGAUCAAUUAUAAUUCAUGACAUCUGUAGAACAAUCUAAAUUCAUCUACUUUGUUCUAAGAAUUUCCAGCCAACUUUGGGGAAGGUUAGAGAAAUCUGGAAUUCGGAAUGUUUCCCAAGUGAUUUGGAGGAUCACUUGUUGCCGAGUUCGAGUCACUUCUGAAUGUUUCCCCACUUAUAAUUAUGCGAGGGGUUAACAUGAAAAUUGUGCAAUCGGUCGGAAAGUGGGUGGUCAAUUGAGGACCACAAAACUAAAAGAAAUUAUGGCUCAGUUUGGUAUUUUUCUUUUUAAAUAGUUUUUUGCCCUUCGAAAUAAAAAAUUAGAAAAAUAUUUUGUGAAUGAAAAAAAAGAGAAAAUAUAUAUAUAUAUAUUUUUUAAAAAGUAUUUUAAAUAUGUUGAGUUUUCCAAAAAUGUCUAUUUGGUUACGUUGGAAGAAGCUAAAAAUAAAAGUAUUAUGCAAAAUAUUAUUUUUUUUGAAAAUUUUUUUAGUGGAAAAGAAAUAAGGAAAGUUUAGAAAAGUUUAUUUUUUUAAUAAUAUAAUUUUGCUUCUCUCACGUUUUUUUAUGGAUAAUAAAUAAAUAAAAAUAAAUUAUAAAUUAAGAGAUUGUAAUAGGAAAUAAAAAUCUUAUAAAUAAAUAAUUCAUAAUAAAUAAAAAUAAUAUAUUACUUAAUCUCACCAUCAUUUUUAUUUUUACUCAUCAAAUGAUUUAAACAAAUAUAAUUGUAAUUUUUUUAUUUGCCAUUUAAUGAAAAAUUGGUUCUUAUAUUGUAUUAAAUAAUUAUAAAUAAAUGAUUUUAUUUAAAAAGAAACUCAAUUUUAACAUAAAUCAAUUAAAAUAGAGUUUAAUUUAAUAUAAUUCCCAUAAAUCAAUAAAAAAAAAUGCUUUUCAUCGGUAAUUUUAAUUUAUAAAUUAUAAUGAUUCAUCAAUUUUAUUUUUUCAUUUUUUUCAAUGAUUAUUACUCUUAAAAUAAGAUUAAAAAGGCUGCCAUGGUUGACAAUAGAAGGAUAUAUGUAGUAGUUAUAGAGAUGUUGAUUAAGCUUAGAUUUUGUCUUCUUGAUACCGAAUAAGCGGACAUCUAUCCUGAAAUCAAGACAUUGAAACCGAAAAGACUCCCAUGUUCCGCAACUGGUCCGAGCCACGUGGUCGAAUGGUCUACACACGUGUCGUCAUUAUCAGUUUGUUUCCCAUGACUGCAAAUUUGCAACAACCAUGUCAUGUGCCACGUCACAACCAACCUUUGACUUUAAAUCAGCUUGUGGCUCUAAUUAUUGAUUGUUUAGGCUAAGAUAAAAAUGGUUCCCCAGCGACCUUACCCACCACAUGUUUAGAUGGCUUCUUCCCAACUCUCAAUAAUUAUCCAUAAGGGUGGGUGGGUCCUAUUGGUGUUGUUUCAAAGUAGGUAAUAUAUUACAUAGCUAAACCUAAAUCCAAUAUAAAUUAUAAUAGUGUAAAAAACAUAAAUAUAAAUAUUAUUUAAUUAUUAAAUAGAUAGUACGGACUAUAGUCUAUUUAAUCAAUUUAAUAAUAAAGUUCUCUUAUUUAAUAAUCAGAUUUAGUCGAGAUCUUAUAUAUGUCCAUAUGAUUAUUAUCUCAAUCAAGUAUAUUUAUGAAUCGAUUGAUCUAGUUAUUUAAAAUAAAUCAAAUAUGAGUUAAAUGAUUUACAAAUAUAAUUAUAUUAAUAGUGAGAUUAUUAAAUAGGUGAAUGUGAGUUAAAUUCGUAUUAUAUAGUUGAUCCAAAAAUAAGGGUUAUGCAAAUCGGCACAAAUUUGAUCAAAACUCAUUUAUACUUGAUUCAAAUCUGCGAAAAUUGUGUUUGACUAUAAUUAUCUUUUCCCAAUUAAAAUAAAAUAGAGUUGCCACCUUAGCUUCAUAAGGGUUGUGACAUGUAGUUCAAUUUUUUUAUUUAUUUUGUUUUUCUUCUACAAUGAUAAUAUGUAUAUUUUCCCAAUUAAAAUAAACCUUAGCUUUGUAAGGGUUGUAAUAUGUAGUUCAAUUUUUUCAUUUAUUUUCUUCUUCUUCUUCUACAAUGAUAAUAUGUAUAUUUUCCCAAUUAAAAUAAACCUUAGCUUUGUAAGGGUUGUAAUAUGUAGUUCAAUUUUUUCAUUUAUUUUCUUCUUCUUCUUCUACAAUGAUAAUAUGUAUUUUUUCUUACCUUAGCUUUCGUAAGGGUUGUAAUAUGUAGUUCAGUUUUUUGUUUUUUUUUUUUUUUUAUUCUUCUUCUUCUAAUUAUAAUGAUUCUUUUUUGGCUAUUUUUGGUUUUUGAAAAAUUUGAAGGAAAAUGUAAGAAAAGAAAAUUGAAAGAAAAAAUAAAAGGAAAGAAAAAUAAAAAAAAUUUAAAAUCAAUAAAUUAUGUUUAUAUAUUAUUUCAAAAUUAUUUUAUUUAUUUAAUUCUUCAAUAUAAAAAUUAAAUGAUUUAAAAUGCAUAUAUUUAAAAAUUAAAUCAUGCAAUAAACCUGAUCAUUUAGAUGCCAAGUAAUAAUCAAUAAUUACCUUCUUAUUGCUUCGUUUUUCUUUGCUCAAAUCGACGUUAAAAUAUGAGAUUUUAUUUGUUUAUUUAAAUAUAGGAGAAUUUCAACAAAUACGACUACAAAUAUAUCCUAAAACCCUACGCUGACUCUUAGGCCUUGACAACAAUAGAACUCCUAACGUAGUGCUGACCAUCUGACCAUAUCAAUCGUCCGAAAACAUAGUCCUCAGCCACCCGACGUCCUUUAGCUUUCAGGGUAAGACGGAAGCUCUUCUCCUCACCAUACUCCCUGAACUCCAAUUUAUUGGGCUUCACCGCAACUGAAAUUCCAGGUGGUGCCUUGACACUCGCCGUAUACGUGCCGGGAGUGCCAACAUUCUUGACAGUUCUGGAAAUGGUAACUGAGCCUGAGAGAUUAGGAGCUGUGAUUGAAGGGUAGUUGAAGCCUGUGAGACUGAAGGACUUGGGGCACUUGUAUGGCUUCUGUGAGAAUAUUUGAAGUUGGGUCUCAUUGUACCCAAUGGCACAUAGGAAGUUGAGGUAGUCAUUAACAGUGGAGUCAUAUACCAGUCCAGGAUCCAUGGCCCGGUUUGGUCUAACAUGGCCUGCACCAUAGCUGAAUGGAGUUGCUUUAAGGUUUGAUGAGUUCAGCAUCGGCUCCAUAUUGUCAUCUCGUGUUCUUGCUGCAAAUGAUAAAGAAUCAGAAAUGUACGAAAGCCAGAAUGAUUCAGCAUUAGACAUAAAGAGUAAAGCCCUAGUACCACUUGUCAUGAUUGCGGAUUUGAUAGCUGCAGGGCUCCAAUCAGGGUGAAGGGUUUUGAGAAGGCCCACAAUGCCAGAGAUGUGAGGGCAGGACAUGGAUGUGCCUGAUUGUGCGUUGAAAGGAAUUCGACGUUUGUCAAAUGUUUGAUCAGUUGGCCCUAUUGAUUCGCUGUAUGCAGCUAUGAUAUUCACCCCUGGGGCAGUUAUAUCAGGCUGAAAAUGAAACGAAAAUUAUUCAUAAGAUCACACAUGGAUGACCUCCUUGUAGAGAAGGAUUGAGUGGGUGAGCAGACCUUGAGAAUUUCUGGUGUAAUGGUGUUGGGUCCCUUCGAUGAAAAAGAGGCCAUAAAUGGAGCAGGCUUUAUUCCCAAUUGGGUCCUCACACGGGUUAGGUAAGCCAUGGGGUUCCUGUUAAUAUGCAUGAUUGGCAAAAUUGAGUAGUGAAGACUAAGGAGGCUAGAACUUGGACAGGAGACAACAAAAGGGACAGGGAAUUACUUGGUAGAGUUGAUGUAAUUAAAGACAGCUGCACCAUCAGAGAAGUUGACAUGGGAAGCAGGAAGCACGUGAGGGUCGGCUAUGAGUUCAUUUCCACUCUGCAUAUCAUUAGCUAGAAUGAACCCAACAGCGCCUGCAAGUGCAGCCUGCUCGCCCUUGUCAACUCUUGGAUUUUCCCCUCGAAGGCAGACCAAGAUCUUCCCCUUCACCUUCUUUGGGUUGAGGGUUCCGGGCUUACAGAGAAUGCUGCAUUUAUUCAAGCACAUAACCAUCAGGGCUUUUGAUAAGAGCUACCAUAGUCAAGGUGGAAUUGAAAAAUAAAAACAAAAAAUCAGUCUAGCAUAGAGUUGUUUCACUCACGCAUCUUGAGCAGACGCAUUGGCAGCUUUAGCAUCUAAACUGCUGAUCACUGGAUAGAACUUGUUUGAUGGCAAGCCUUUGGUUGAGAGGCUCAUGCCCUGCCCAGUAAAAUAGGAGCGUGUUAGUGGGAUGGAGUAUGCAGUGAAAAUGAGUAUCGCUCACAAGCCAUCACACUAACAAUAACCAUCUGGUGAAAAUGAAUAUGCACAAACUUCUUCCAAACAGGGUAGCAAUAUCUAAUUGGUUUGUGGAUGUCCAAUAACCAUCUGCAGGUGUUCGUUCUAGAUGUCCAGGAAGAGACAAGGAAAAAUAGGGCCUCAACUUUGCUAAAAUUAAUAGAUAAUCGUAGUGGUUAAGGUGAUUAGUACCUUGAGGUGCUUUCUAUUGCCAAGAGCAACGUAAUUUGUGAAUUCCCUGUCAAUGGUACUAGCACCAACCGUUAUCAUCCAGGGUGAUACGUUUGAUACCGACGCAUCCUUUGGCCCAUCAUUUCCAGCAGAGGAAACUACAACAAUGCCCCUCUUAACAGCAUGGAAAGAACCAAUUGCAAGACCAUCUGUGAAAUAAUCACUGGCGUCCCCACCAAGAGAUACUGAUAGAACAUCAACACCAUCGUGUAUAGCAGCAUCAAAUGCAGCCAUGAUGUCUGCAUCAAAGCACCCACCAUUGUUGACUUGGGGCCAGCACACCUUGUAAGCAGCCACACGAGCUCCUGGUGACCCGCCUUUUGCGGUACCAUUACCAUAACCAAACACACUUGCUCCAUAAACUAAGCUACCCCCAGCAGUAGAUAGGGUGUGGGAGCCAUGUCCUUCAUGGUCGCGCGCUGAGUUGAAGGAGGAGUUGAGUGGACCAGCAUAAGCAGCAUAACCUUUGUUGAAGUACCUUGCUCCAAUAAGCUUCCUGAAAAAUUUCAGGACAAUUAAAAAGAGCAAUGGGUGCCUUCAGUUAAGAAACCAGGAAAAUUGUUCUCUUUUGCCUAGACAACAAUUUUAUGGAAGAAAGAGGGAAGUAUAUCAGGAUGAUCUCAACUCUGUUAGCAACUUGUAUCAAAACAAAAAACUGAGUAAGUCAGUGGGUUGCUCAGUACCAUUAGGAGCCAGCAUAUAGUGUAGGGCGGGGCGUGGCAGGAUCACAUGUAAAUCUCAAUCAUAUUACUAUGUUCAGUGAGGAAGAGGAACUAACUUUUGAAAAUUGAGCAAUCUUUCUCAAUUUGCACCUCCUAUGUAGAAACAUAUAGAUGCUCAAACAACUAGACCAUGUUUUAAUACAACAAAACAUGCUUUAACUUUUAAAUUCUUGUCCUUUUCCAUUGUUUCCAAGAUGGACUACUUAGAGAUCAUAAUAUCCCCACAUUCAUGAACUUUAUUUCAGAGCCUUUUUCUUCAAAUUUGCAUCAUAUAGGUUGAGCAAAAAUAGACCUUUACCAUGCACAUGAAAAACUGAUUUUGUGUUGGUUUUGCCUAUCUCCAUCAUCUUGUAGGAAAAUAAAACCAAAAUACCAACAAUGAUCCUAAAAGGCAAUUCACCCUUUCUCUUUUUCUUGUACUCAGGUGAGGAGGAUGGGGAGGAUCUCUACAAAAAGAGAAUAUACCUGUUGCAAGUAACAGCAUUUUUGGUUUCAUCCUGACAUGUCCCCCGCCACUUUGAUGGAACUAGUCCCAUUCCCUCAUCACUAAAGCUCUUUGAUUCAGGCCAAACACCUAGCGCAACAAAGGCACAUUCCCAUUAUCAAAAUGUGUAUCCAAUGAAUUUCAAGCAAAAGAGAAACAAGAGAAUAUGAAUAGUCGUCUUUUAUUUCCACUUUUUGUUUGUGACCCUACCAUUAUCUAUCGUUCACAGUUAAAAUAUCAUGGCUCCAAACAUCAGAAACACAAGUGAUAGAGAAGAAAUCUGAUGAUCAAGUGCUUUCUAAUCAUGCAUUUUGCAAGAACAAAGCGGUAAUGAGUACUCGCAUAAAUCAAAUCCCAGAAUUCUCAAUAAUGCAAUAAGAGAAUUUGAAUUUGGAUAAAGUCAAACCACCAGCCAAGUAAAAUGCUAUAAUGGGUUGGUGAAGUUUCAAAUGAAUUUGAAUUAAAUCAAGUUCAUUAUCAUUCUUCCUUUUUCUUCCUUUCUUCCAAUGACAAAAAAUGUGAUCCAAUAUGGCCAAGUCAAAUACCAUAACACAAGGAUAUUGAUUCAGAGAAAGACCUAUUGCCAAAAGCGUGUAUACAUCAAAUCAUCUUGAAAAAACUCACUGAAGAAGAAGAAGAAGAAGAAGAAGAAGGGUUUUGCUAGUUUUCAGGAAAAUGUAACCGCCAAAAUGAAUUUAAUACUCCCAUCUGUUCAGAGCAAACUACUUGAGUUCAAUAAGAUGAGAAAAUUCAGGAAAAAGAAGUUAAGAAGUUACCUGUGUCAAGGUUUCCGAUAAUUGUAUCUUCACCAAACCUGGCUUUCUUCCAAAUUGAAUUCGGUUGAAUGACUCCAUUCUUUUCCAAGUCAAGGAAAUGCCAUGACCGGGUUGUGUGCAGUUUCCUUCCCUUGUUCAAGAAAACUGAUAUAACAUUUGGAUGCUCUGUUUUGAAAAGCAAAUGCAGUUGUGCUUAUUAUGACAAAAAUGAGAAAAAGAUAAAGAGUGGAAACAUGAAGUGGACUCCUCACUUGCAAUUUCCGCUGCUUCUUCCUCUUCGAGGAUUGCAGCGAAGCCAUUGAUGUUCUUGUUAUAGGAGUAGAACAUGGCGUCCUUUGCCUUCUCAUUGCUGUGUAACGUAAAAGAGACUUGGUUGUGAAUCCCACAUGAAGAAACCAGAAAUAAUGCUGAACUAUUUCAAAAUUCUGUACCUUCCCAAGAAAGAUCCCAGAAAAUCAUAAUGGGAAUUUGUCACGCGAUCGAGAUCAACAGACGUAGGCUCUGGGCCAUGUGAAUGCGCUCCCAAGUAAACUAUAUAAGACUGCAGCACAGAAAAAAGAAGGAAAAAGGAAAAGAAAAAAAAACAAAAAUGAAAACCCCAUAUGAUGAAUGGUACUAGAUAAUAUUAAGAUGUCACCCUUGUACCGGGUUCAUCACCAUUUUUCAUCACUUCUGAAACAAACAAUUAUUCAUGUUGGUUUAUAUUUUAAUAUAAAAUAAUAUAAAAGAGAGAAAGACAUGAAAUGCUUGCCUUUUUGGUGGCAAAAGUGGGCAUCUGUAACAGCAAAAAGAGAAGGAAUGAGAGAAGUAAAGAAGGAAGCAGAGAAAGCCUCAUGUCUUCUCUCUAAUGGUUAACUCUCUCUGUAUCUGUAGAGAUGUGUAAAUGGUGGCCUCUCUCCCCUGUUUUUAAAUACUCUGUUUCUACCUUUUAUGGGAUAGACAUCUUCAUCUCCCUUUUUUAUAACGGAAAGUGGUGGGGACUCUUCCAAUUUCUAAGCAACCAACUUAUGCAAUUUAAGAAUUGGAAAUAAAAAAUCUUCAGGCUUUUUAAUUUAAUUUAAUUUAUUUAUUUAUAAUAUUUACAGUUAUGUGUUUCUUGGAACUGAUUUUGUUUUUUCCUCAUUUUGAUGCCAAAUUAGUGGCUUCCAAAGGUGAUAAUAUGAAGUUAUAGCACUUGGAUUUGCUAAUGUGGUUUCCAUAAAGGGCAUCAUGGAAGGGAUUGAGAGGUAGAGUGACUUUGAAGAGAUCAUUUUUUGGAUUUUUUUUUUUUUUUUUUUAAGGGAAAAAUUGAAGCCAUCUCCUUGAAUCUUUGUUAUCAUUUAAGGCACACAUUUUUGGGCCUUUUUUGUAAGUUCCAAUUUGAUGUCACAAUAGUUUUGAAUUUAAUUUAAGUAUACAUGAGUGUAAGAAAUUGGUGGCCAUCCAUGUCCCAUCAAUUUGCACAUAUGACAUGCCUGUGUAUUAGGGCAUGGUUGGAUUUUAAUAUUUUGAUUCAAAACUUGAUAUUAUACCAUUUUAAGAUUUGAAAUCAACCUAAAUUGAUUUUUAUAUGGUUUGUCUAGGAAGAAGUUUUGAUCAUCUUAUGUGAAAAUCAAUCAGUGUCUAGUAAAGAUAGAUUACAAUUAUUUGGUUAAUCUAUCAUUGGAUUUAGGAAUGACUAAAAACUUGGGACUUGAACUUACAUCUUUGGUUCUGAAUUCUAAUAUUAAUUCUUGGAUCAGACUUUUACCAUCUUAUCCCAAAACCAAUUGGGAUUAAUUAAGGGUAAAUAAGUCUUUUACAACAUUUAACAUUACUAUCAUUUAAGUGAAGCAUCAAUGAACUAAAGAGUGAAAUUGUUUUAACUUAGGCUUAAUAGUUUUUAACUUAACCUUUUUUUAUUAGAUUUUUAAACUUUAUGGAAACAUGUACACAAAAUUCUUCGCAUCAAAUUUUCUUGCAAGGAAAAUCAACAACAUCAUGUUAUGUAAGUAGCACUUGAUGGGAUUUAAGAGUGCUAAAAAAUUUGUGGUUAUGACAUAAAAAGGGUUUAAGUCACCACUUUAAGUUUGUUGAUUACAUUUUAAACAAAGACUUUUCCUUUCGCUAUUAAUUAAAAUCGAGAAGGUGUUUGUUUUUGUAGCUUAUAACUAAAAGGAAUUUGUUUGCAAGUAACUAUUUAACUUGUCCUUCAUAUUUUUCAUCACGGAAUAUACUUAUCUUUUUCAGAAUAGAAAAAGUAACAUUUUUAAACCUUUAUCAUAAUGAAUUUUCUUGUCUUUUAUCACUUCCUUCUUGGACCACUAUCUUUUUCUCUUCUCCCACAACUUCAACAUCAGUAGCUUUCGAAAUAAUUUAUUUUAUUUUAUUUUAUUUUAAAAUAUGUUAAAUUAUUUUUUUGUCAAAUAAGAAAUAAUUUAAAAUUAUUUUUCUUAAUACAUUAAGAUAUUGAUUUUUAGCAUAUAAAAAAUAAUCCAUUCAACAAUAAAUAUUAAAAAAACAAACAAUUUAAUAUUUAAUAUUAUUAAGAACUAUUUAGGUUUAAGUUAAAUUAAGUUCUAUUUAGAAUUAAGUUAAAAAAACAUCUACAACCAUUUGAUUUUGGGUUAGCUCCUAUGAACAUACCAUCUAGAACUUCCAAUGCUAAAUUCUUGGACAAAGGUUUGAGAGCCUUCCCUUUGAAGUUAGCUGCCAAACCUCACAUUCAAAACUUUGGAGUAGGCAUGACUGAAGUCUUUGGGAAUAUUAUUUUGUAGGGACUCGUAUUUGACUUGCAAGGUGAUAAUUGCAAUGAAUUUUCUAGACCUUUAUAAGUGACCUCACUAGUCCCAUCUCUAACCAAACUAGCGAGUUUCAUGCUAUCAUUUUACUUUAGUCAGUAUUGUAGUACCCCAUGGAUUUAUGGGCAGGUACAGGCCCCAGGGUUGAUCCCAAUCAUCCAAAUCAAAAUCCAGAAGUUUCUGAAACAAGCUUUGAUGAUACUUAAAUAGCUUUUUACAAACUUAUGACACAUUUUUUUAGAUAAUAUCUAAAAAGAAAAUUCACUCCAAGAGUUCACCCAAAAAAAAAGAAAAAGGAAAAAAAAAUGAUUGUUUUCUCAUGAUAUUUCUUUCUCAUCCACAAAUGUGGGUGGGUCCAAAUAGCUGGCUUUAAUGUUAUAUUUGGUUCCAAAAAAAAUAUGAAUAAAAGAGAAGAAAAAUGAUUUUCUCAGUUAGUUUUACUAUGAAAAAUAUAAAAAUAUUAAAUAUAAUUAAAAUUAAUUAUAAACCCGUGAGUAUUCAAAUUAUUUAAUCUUCGUGUAAAAGUGAUAAAAUAAGCAAAAUUGAAGUGAUGUAUAAAAAUUUUUAUUGACUUAAAAUCUAUUUCUUCUCUAAUUUUUUCCUGAGAACCAAUUAUAGCCUAAAUGUUGACCUUCCUUAUAAUCAUUAGAUUCCUCUCAUGAUUUUGCGUAACCUUUCAAUUAUCUCACAUGUGUAGUUUAGGGAGUAAAAUUUGUAAAGCUGACAACAUGUUCUUCACCUCUAAUAAAAAUAGUACUCUUUGUUCAAUUAUUUCUUUAUAGACUGUUAUAUGGACACAUCUAGAACCCCACCCAAUUCUUUAUUUAGCCUAGCCCCACCAAGGCACUAACUUUCUGUUGUUUCUAGACUGUGAUCCAAGAGAGGAGCCAAUUUGGUGGUAAGAUCCUAAUAAUAUUCCCUCCAUAUUCCCCAGGCUUCCAUAUUUCUUCCUUGCUCUGUGUGAUGCAACUCAGACCAUUCCGGAGUUGUGGAAGUCACAAGGUGAGAACCACAUUGACCAAUGCUACGUUCUUUGGUUUAGAAACAUGUAGACAUAGAAUAGUUUGAGUAUAUGCAGAUUUAUAGGCUGACAGUUUGUUUGGAAGUUCAUUUGUUUGAAGAAGUCCUACAUCCCUGUGUUUGGUUGCCCAGAAACCUAAAGUAAAGGAUAUAUGAUUUGCAGUGCACAUAUUUUCUUUUUCUCUGGUUUUUAACAACCAGACCAAGGAAGGAUCAUUCAAUCGUGUUUAGGGUUGUGUAAUUAGGAUUUACAAAAGAAUUAAAGGAUGCGGCAGAUGGAUUUUUAUUAUUGGAUAGUCUUAGAGGGUAGCUUUCUUGAAUUACAUUGUGAAUUUUUACAAGAUCAUGUUCGUUACCUUCUCUGUUCUUUUGUGCAUAUGUUCUAUCUCAAAGAUAAGCAAACAGUAGCAGUCCAACCUAGUCCACACUGAUCAGAGGUUUUUCCAGUGUUCUGUCUCUCAUCUAAGCUCUGCAACGAUCUUGCACACCCACCUGGAUUGUGUUAGCCGCUGACCAGUCAUCAGGGCUAAGUUUCACACAAUCAAAAGGUGAAGCCUCUGAAGCACCAAACACUUCUCUACUGACAGCUAAGUUGUUGUCAAUUGCAACAUCAUAGUCUCAUUUUGUUUUGAGUGUUCUGCUUUCCCAUAUAAGUGGAGUCUCGUUAUAUCUUCUGCAUACUCGGAUUAGACUAAAGGCUUACGUAACAGUUGGUGGAUUCAAUCUAGGAGCUUGACUGAAAUUGCAAAUUGAUAUUUUAGUUUUGGGCUUUAGCUUAGUAUUUGUUACUUAGUCAUUAAAGACUGCAAUCCAAACACCAAGUUGGAGCUAAUUCAGUUGUCUUUCCUCUCAAGCAUGAGUUAUGCAUGUUAAAAGGGCAUAAAAUUUACCCUUUUAGGCUAAACAGGAAGAAGAAAUCAAGCAAACUCCUCAAAAAAUUUAACAAGGAAAUAUCAAAUUAUUUACAUUUCAUCUAAAUCACCAUAUAUUCAUGUAUGUGUUCCUAUAUUACAAGGAUGCUUCAAUAAAAUCAGUACACCUGUACAUGAAGACCUUAACAAAUUCCAUCUAAAACAAAGAAUCAUCUUCAUGACAACAAAUCCUCCUAACAACCCAUCUUCAGGGAAAAAAUAUAUAAAAAUACCACUGACUCAGACAUGCUAGAUAUUUGAUUUUUGUGUUCUUUUCUGAGCAGAUUUUCAGAAACCUUUCCAGGCAGUGAGGACUUCAUGGAAGACUUCAGCAAUCAGGUCCCUAUCUGCACACUGCAGAAAGGCAUUGAAAUCAUCUCGAAUGUCAAAUAUCUUACCAAACUUCACAAGAUAUCGCAAGCAGGCAGUUUUCAGUUUUGACAAUUGAUAAAGAGAUGCAUUUUGGAGCCUCUCCAGCACAUUCUUAGUGUCAAUAUCUUCUAAAAGACUCUCAUGGCAUGCCUCUUUCAGGUCUUCAAUGUCGUACUUAUCAGCUGCACGGAGAAGUGGCAGCCUGUGGAUCAGAAAUUCAUCGUGUUGGAUAUUCCCAUAAAUGUAAUUGAGAAAAGCUUGGCAGGCUUCAAUUGACAUGUCAGAGAUGUUUACGGUGGAUAGUUCUUUCUCUUUGAGGUCAUGUGAAAACAUGCUGCGAAAAACAGGGGAUAUUGAGGCCAGAACCGCACGAUGAGCUCCAAUGCUUCCAUCAGAAGCAUUAAUUAUAAUGUCUGUGUGGAUGUUUUCUGACAACAUCCGGCCAAGGGAUGCAAGAGCUGUUGUACUUGAUCUUUUUUGAGCGAAUCCUUCAGCCCAGAUGGAGCAAGGCUCUCCACCCUGUAGGUUACACCAAGAAGCACAUUAUCAGUAAAUAUAGGCAUAUGGUCCCAAGUAAAAACAAACCCCUUUCGCUUCUAAGUUUCAUUAUUUCUUUCCAUUGGCUAUGAUCACAAACACAUUGAAUGAUUGAUCAUACUGCCAGACUUUAAAUGUAGCUUACUCUAACUAAUUUAUUGCCAAUUGCAUUCAUUGUAGGUAAGAACAGGACAAUAGAAAGAGCAUAUUAGAAGCCUACGUUUGGUGAUGAAGUCUUCAAAUCUAGGAAUUCAACGUCGACAAUGAAUUUCCCAGUUAAUGGAACCUCAAUCGCCCAAACGAAAUCGUCGUUAUUCUUGAGCUGCUUGUCUGUUAUUUCUGCAUGAAAGGGACCCCAAAUUAUCAUGCUUAUGUUGGCCAAACAUCAAAGAAAUGCCGAAACCCAAAGAAAAACAAGGGUAUAGGUCAGGGUUCCAAAAUCAUGACAGAGACCGCCUAAUUUCUAGUUACCUGGAUGAACCAAAGCCUUGCGAUCUCCCACAGAAGAGAGCACUCUGAUGAUGAAAGACGCAAUUGGGGGGUUGUCUCUGGUUAAAUUUGAUGUUUCCGGGUACAGUUUAACAGAUAAUGUCCGAUUCUUCUCUAUAGAUAAAUGCCUUCAAUUCGAUCAAACAAGGUUAGAUUUUCUUGAGAUUCAUGGAGAGUAAGAAACUCGGGAGUGAGUGAUGGGUAUAAAAGAAUGAUUACCAAUUCCACUUGCCGAUCUUGAAAGGAUCGGACUUGCGGUAAGUGCAGGAAGCCAGGUUGUCGAUCCUCCAUUGGGCGAGGCGCGACGUGGUUUCGACUCUGUAUGCGGAGUCGCUCAUCCUAGCGAACGCGAGAGCCGCAGCGAUUUCAUGGAUGCAAUCGAAGAGACCAUCCAACAACUCUCCGGGCUUUCCCAGGUUUACUUUUCCGCCACGCACCACCGCCACUCUUCAUAGAAGCCUCCUCCUUCACUGCACUCAGCGCCCUGAAACCCCAGGAUCUUCACCACCGCUCUGUUUGUAUUUUUAUGAUUCAAAAAUUGUGUUUGAUGUUCCGGGCACGCAAGGAUUUUGGGAUUGCUUUACGCGAUUGAGGAGGAAGUUGCAGAGGCUAAUGGGUGCUUAAGGGUUGAAGAGAGAAUGUGCAGGUUUGUUGGCUUACACUGCACUUCAGGGGUUGGUUGGUUUAUUUAUUGGCCAUGUUUUUGUAUUCUUUCCCAUUAUUGAUUGGGCUUAUGUCAUGUUGAUUAUGGAUUGCAUUUUCAUAUGCUUGUAUUUGUGUUGGAAAAGGCAAGUAUUUCCUUUCAUUUUCGAGGCUUCCAAGCAAAGAAUCUAUUCUCCCUCUAAAUUUGGUUUUGCAAAACCUUGAUGGGCCUUUGGAUUUUAUCACCAGUUAUCCACUCAAUUCCUUACUUUUAGCCUCUCUUUUUCCCUCUUUCGAAUUCAAUCCUACGUCUCAAGUACAAAGUUAGAGAUGAAUCCCCUGUGUCUAUAAAAUUUAAUUUCAAAAUUAAUUUAUAUUAGUUAAUUUUAUAAAUAAGAAAUUAAUUUAUUUUAUAUAUUUUUGUAGGCAGACGGUUUUCAAAUUACUAAAAAAAUGAUUAAAUUUUAAUAUAAAAAAUAAAUAUUUUUUUUUAAUUUAAAAUUUUAAAGGGUCAAUUUCUUCAUGUGCUACGGUUUCCAUUUUAAAGUCGUCUUUUAAAUGAUUUCCCUAUGUGCUAGAAUUCAUAUUCAAAUUUGGAAAUCAUUCAAUGAAAACAUAACUUCUCAUUCUACUCAGCCCCACCUCGUGCUCGUGAUUCCAUGGCAUAGAGUGUCACAUAUCAGGAAAUAUUUUGGAAUUUUCUUUAAUAACCAAGAACAAGAAUAGAAAAGUAUAUGAUAGUGGACCAAUUUUUAGCCCCUGCAUUAAAAGGUCUGAAAUUUGGGGUAAUUCGUCAUAAAAAAAAAAAGAGGUAGGUGGGUCAUUUUGUUGAAAGACAGGAAGAGGAAAGGGAAAGGACAGGCAAACCGAUAUCUUUGAACAUUGGAGCUAGUGGGGAGUAAGCAUUCCAUGAUUGGAUCACAUACAUCCUCUGAACCUUUUACUCUUGUACUUAUUGGAUCAUAUGGCUGAGAUCAAGUGAUGAUGCAAGGACAAGGACCUCAAUGAUUGCCUGCCCUUGUAUCUACUCAAAUCUUUUGAAAUACAAAAUUAAUAGGAAAACCCAAGAGGAUACACAGAGCAAGAAAGGUAAGUGUGGUGGGAGCACUGAUUUGGAAGGAUUGGAAUCUUGGGUGGGCUCUGUUGUUUCCAUACCUAAUUUUUCAGGUUGGAGAGUGUUUUAAGUAUAGAAGAAAGGUAUCUUUGUGUGGGGCAUCCCAAACUUGAAUCUUUGCAAAGCAUUGUAGCAUUGCAAGAAGCCAUCAUCAUCAACAAAAACUAAAAUAAUAGCACCCCCUUUGUGAAUGAUUCGAUGCAGAUGUCUAUGGGGACAACAAGCCACAAUCAUACAUGUUUGCAGUUAUACAAGGGGCUCUUUAAAUGUCUUAUUUGUUUGAGGGUGUUAGACAGGGACAUAUAGAAAGGCUUCAGCCUGAAUGCAGCCCAACAACCAAGUACUGAACCUUGGCUUUCGUCCCUAUAAUGAUUCAAUGGUCCUUUCAGUUUGUUGCAUAUGCGUAGACAUUGGGAUGGGGGUCGGCCUAGCUUUGAUAUGGAGCAAUCUUGUUGAGGCUUCAAAAUGCAUGCAAAUAUUUGCUGUUUUAGUAUUUGGUUGGCUCAAUAAUUUGGUUACUAAAGUCGCCCUUCCCUUGGGAUGCCUUCGUUGUCAUAUUAGGAAGACUACGAGAGACUAAAUGUCUCUUAACUCGUACUAAUCAAUGACUAGGCUUGGUCCGUAUGAUGAAUAAAAUAUGUAUGGUGGGUGAGCACCAUUAGACUUCAGCAAGUAGCAGGUGGCUCCACAGUGCCAUAGAUAUUUUUGGCAUAUUCAUAGUUUGGAGGGGACUUGGGUGGCAUACUUCAACUCACAUUGGGAAAAUGGGUCGUUUAAGUUGCAAAAUUGAACAUUCAGCACAUCAAGCAUCUGAAAAUUUUGGGCUCAUCUUUGCAUGGGCUCCAUAAACGUUUGUCAAUGUGCAGCAGGGUUGGGUCAUAUUACUUUUUGGACCAAAGCAGCCAAAAAAGAAAAAAAGAAAAAAAUAAAAAAAAUAAAAAAAUUCAGAUGCUCGGGGUUGUCUUGAUUCUCUGUUCUUUUCAGAUACCUUAUGCAAAAUCACUGAUAUUUUGGCCUUCAUUCUCCUACUGAUAUGAAGUGCUUAAAUUGGUCUGCUCUAGCAUACACAAGGAUUCCCCUUUCUUCUUGUCAAUUAUAGGUAGAUAGACUAACAUUAAUCAGUGAAAAUGACAAUUGAUCAGGCAAAGAAAAACAGGAAUGCUGAGAGACAACUGGGCCUACAUAUAUUAACUUGCGUUUCAAAGUUGGAAUGGUAGAUGGUCUUAGUUCAUCCAUCAUUCCACAUAUGGCAGAUAAAGAUUUUCUUAUGAUGAAACAAAUCUUAUGUUAGAUGAAAGAUUUAUCUUAAUAGUGGUGACUACUCCUUACUUUGAAGUAGGAGUGGACUGGAAUCAUCACCAAACACUACUAACAAGUUGUCAUUAGUGGGGUAGUCAUCAAGUCAAUCCAGAAAUUCCCACCAGGCACUAAGAUGACCAUAUUCAUAGUAUGUCAGUAUGAAUACUGAAACCUUUUUCCCUCUACAGAACAUAUACUCUUCCGAAUGAACAUCUGAAGGUGAUGGAUCUUUCUUUUAUCUGGGCAAAAUUCAAUGUUUAUCCAAUCAUGGGAAAUUAAUACUAAGUAACCAUAGGAAAUAUGUUUAGCCAUCCCAUUGCUUCCAGUUGAAGUGGACGUGGACACCCUUUUGGAGGGCAAAGAGUUCUACUAUCACCCUGCGGAUGUGGGUGUUGAGGUGCUCUUGGAGGCUCAUACUAGCUAGAGCAAUUCCCAACUCAAGUGGAGUUAUUUCCAUACAUUGAUUUUGAUCAGUGGGCCUGCUAAUUCCUUUGAAAUUUAAGUUCCUUAAGGCUAUCGUGACGAGAUGGCCCAGGGCAUUGGAAGUGGCAAAAGUCCUACCCACUAAAAAUAGAAUUUGGGCCAGUAGCAAUAUGUUGUGUCGAGCAUAGGUUUCCAAGUGAGUGGGCUUUUGUGCAAAUGAAAGCUUUCAUUCCAACAAUUGGCCUCUCUUAAGGAUGGUGUUAUCUUCGCAGCAGGCAAUGGAAUCGAUUGAGUGGUAGUGGUAGUGCUAGCAUAUUCCAGCUUUUCAUUCAAUUUCAGCAUAGGCAUUAGGAAGUACGGAUUGUUGUACAAGGAAUCCAUCCUGCUAUCAGGACCACAAAAACAGAGGAGGAAAAGUAUGAACCAUUGUCAAAUAUUUGAAUAUAGACACCUGUUUUUGUCUGAUGGCAGUGGGAUAUUUUAAAUUUGUGAACGGACAGGAUUCAUGUACCAUGGUAGUAUGACCUCUUCCACAAAUCACAAUCCCUUUUGAGUGCUACCCAAGUACGCUGACAGUUGCCCAACAAGAAACAUUCAAACCUAAGCCCAAGAUUAGGCACUAUGUAACUUCAAUGAAACUUCUAUGAAACUCGAUUGUGUGUUGAUAGUUCAACAUUUGAGCACUAUAAAAGGCAUUGAGCUGAUUAUUUGUUAGCCUACAUAUUUUGCUACAUUAAAAAGGGGAGCUAGGUUUCUGUUUAGAAGAACAAGGUUGUUUGAGAUCCUUUUACAAUGGGGAAAACGGCCAAAGGAAAGCGGAAAAUGAGGAACCUAAGAAGAGCAGGAGCCAACCAAAAGCAAACUCAAGGACAACCCCCUGAGUGGGUGAUCGAAAUGAAUAACGAAAUUAAAGAAGGGCUUCUCUGUGACUCUGGAAAAUCGUGGACAGUCUAUCGAGUCCCCAAGAGCAUGCGAGGAAUCCAAAAAAACGCUUUUCUCCCAAAAAUUAUAUCCAUCGGCCCCUUCCAUAAUAAGGACCCAGGGCUACGGAUCAUGGAAGAACACAAGAUGCGUUACCUCUUACGCCUGCUAGAGUCAGGGCCCCGGGAAAAUGGUGAACGAGUAGAAGAUUCGGCGCAACAGGUGCCUCAAGUUGUUAAGGCUAUUCGGUUGGAGGAUCUUGCAGAAUCCAUGAGGAUGUUAGAACAGAAGACAAGGGAAAACUACUCGGAGGAUUUACAGAUUGACAGUGAUGAAUUGAUUCAAAUGAUGGUGAUUGAUGGUUGCUUUGUGCUCGAAUUACUGCGACUCUACUUCAAAUUUGAUAACGAGGUAUGCUAAAGUUUUUGAGUUCUACAGUAAAUCAGGAGACUUGUUGAUUAUGUUUGUUUAAGAUUGAGUUUCCCCCUUCGUGUUACUCAUCCUGGUAGAUAAACACAGCUCACCUUGCUGGAGAAGUCCAGGAAAGAAAGCUACCGGUUCCUUGUAAUUGGAAGCCAAGAUUGUUGACCCAGCUGGCUUCUCUACAAGGAAUUGGACGGCUUCUCUGACUAGGUCCAUGGUUAUUUCCAUAUGGUAUUUUCUCACCUGUCAUUUUUUCUGAAUUUUGGUAAUGAGCUGGCAAUCCAUGACCCAAACCACCGUGCUAUCUGAUCAAGUACACUUGCAGCUGCAACAUCUAAUGGAGCCAUUGUCCAUGGAAAUGGGGCAUUCAACAUUAGUUUGUUAUACAUUUGUUUGGGUUGUUUGGAUAUUAGAUCCCAUUCAUAUAUGUUAUAUGCAGAGUGGGACUAUUAACAUCUAUUCUCUAUUAUACACCCUAUUGCGCAGGAAGAAGUGGAAGAUCCGAUCUUCACAACCCGCUGGAUGCUACGGACCCUCCAGAGAGAUUUAUUGAAGCUUGAGAACCAGCUGCCAUUCUUCGUUCUUGAAAAAUUAUACGAGCUUAUUAGGUUGGUCGAUGACCCACCCCUCGUUGAUCUUGUAGUCACAUUCUUUGAUCCCUUGCUGCCAAGGAAAAAUAUUAAAGGGAAGCUGAACCCUAAUGAGGAGUUUGAUCAUAUGCUUGAUGUGUUCCGUUCCACCUUCCUUUCCUCCAUCAAUGAAAGAACUAAACCUGCUGGAUGGAAGCAACUGCAAAAGUUAGACAACAUUCCACUGGUUGAAGAGAGACAGUUAAUUCACUGUGUCACAGAGCUUCAAGAAGCAGGGGUUCGAUUUAAAAUGAGAGAAGACCUCGAUUUGCUGGACAUAAGUUUUAAAGACGGGAUGUUGAAAAUCCCUCCUCUAUACAUUGAUGAUAAUACAGUCCCCCUCUUCCUAAAUUUGGUUGCUUACGAGCAGUGUGACCAAGAUGCUAAACCUUUCUUCACCAAUUUCUGCAUGUUCUUUGAUAGCUUGAUCAAUUCUCAUACCGACGUCGGGAUUCUUCACAAGAAUGGGAUAAUCAAUCAUGUUUUGGGGAGCGAUAAGGAUGUAGCAAAUCUUUUUAACAAGCUUGGCCGGGAGAUUGUUUAUGAUUUGGAUGAAUGCUACUUAUCUCAACAAAUGAUGGACGUUAACGACUACUGCAAACAAUACUUUGCGAGCAAAUGGCAUGUUUGGUUUACAAACUUGAUCCGUGACUAUUUCAGUAGUCCUUGGACUUUUCUCUCCCUCCUUGCUGCCAUUGCUCUUUUGUUGCUUACUACUGCUCAAACUUUUUAUGCUGUGUAUGCUUACUAUUUUCCAAAGUCAUAAUUGACCUGUGGAUUUUCUAUGUAUAUUCCCCACUGUUCAUUCACUUUACCGUUACUUGUAUAUCAUUUCCACUCUUAAGGCCAACCAAAGCCUGCUCCCUCCUGACCCCAUAUACUUUUAUUUCAUUUUCAUGAAUGCAUUUGAAUAAUUGUGAAUGAUCACAUAGUUAUUUGUGUAUUUAAUUUUAAUUUUUUUCCAACUCCUCUGAAUAGGGUAGUAGGGCUAAUUAAAUGUCUAAUCAUAAAGUUCUUUCAUAAUUCUAUCUCUUCUUUAUUUCUUCUUCUGUGAUAUAUAUAUAUAUAUAUAUAUAUAUAUAUAUAUAUAUAUAUAUAUAUAUAUAUAUAUAUAUAUUUCAAGACAUUAUCAACACCAAUUCUCUACAAAAACUCUUAUAAGCUCUUUUAGAAGAUUGUAACAUUGUAAGGAUAAAUCUAUGGUCGGAAAAUACCUCCUUUCUCACAUGAAAGGUAUGUGAUAAAAUUUUACUUUUAUUUGAUUUGUUUUAUUUAAAUGAAGAAAUAUGUUCAUAUGGUGCAUAGAAAAUAUUUUUGUAGCCAGAAACUAUGAAAAAAUUUCACAAUCAAAAGUUAUGUAACAUUCUCUAGAAAUUAUGCAAGAAAUGUUGUUACCGUUUUCAUAAUUAGGAGUUAUAAAAAUAUAACUAGAAGCUAUGCAUUCAAUUUCUAAUUCCUUUUAGUUAUAUUAUAUACUAAAAAUUUUACAAAACAAAAUUGCUAGCUACUUAGCCAUUUGCACUUUUUUUUAAAAAAAUUUAUGUAGCUAAAAGCUAUAUAAAGAACAUUUCCUAGCUUGAAGCUACAAAUUUAUAUAUUUUGUUAUAAGAAAAUAUGUAAAAAUAAUCCAUACCCAAAAGCUAUGAAAAGUGCUAUCCAUUCUCAAUUUUUAUUAUGUGAAUGCUACUUAAUGGUUAUGCAUUUUUUUAGCAUAUUUACAAAUAAUAUAAUAGUAAUUAAGAAAAUAUAAUAAAAUGUUAAAUAAUUGUAUUUUUAUCAUAAGCAAAUAUUGUAUUUUUUUACUUGAUAAAAUAUUAUUAAAUUGUUUUAUUUCAUUUAUUUAUAGUUUAUUUCAAUAAUUUGAAAGAUGAUUCUAAUAAAAUGACUGCAUAUACGGUUUUCAAAUAAUGUCACAUCUUACCAAGCUUGUGUUUGUUGCUUUUGAUAUUUCGAGCAAAAAUUGCUAUCUCGGGGUUACAAACACCUAGAUUACAGACACUAGUUCAUAAAGAGUCUACAUGUAGUGGAUAAUAGGUCAUGAACCCAAACUUCAUCUCGUUGUCAUUUACAUAGGGUAUUGGAGUGUAGUUGAUUAUCUGUAGUAGGAUGUUGAAUCAACUUUAGAAUUAGAUUUUGAGGGAUACAAUACUACUAUGGGUCCCAAUGGUCCCCAUUUGAACUCAUAUACCUUGAUGACAAGAUUUAUCAUAGUUGGAUUGACUCUAGGUUCACUUUUGUGCAUAAGGGUGUUUUGGUAAUUAUGUAAGGUUGCAUAGAGGUUAGUGAACAAGGUCUCUAUAAAGGGCCAAUUGAUUAAUGAGACAACCACAUUUAGUUAAUUAAUUAAUUAAGACUUGUUUUGGGCUAGAUUAAGUAACCUAAGCCUUUAGUGGGCUUAAGUCACUUAAGCCUAAUUAAGGAACCCUAUAUAUACCCCUUUAAGGGUUAGGGUUUCCCAAUCACUUUUGUGAAAGCCAUCUUCCACUUCUAGAAAGAGAGAGUCAAAGCUCAAUUCCAAAGACCCACCAUUUGGAGUGCCAAGAUCGAGGUUAGAGCCAUUGGAUGGAAGAUCUUGAUCGUGUGAGACCUUUAGAUUCUUUAGGCUUCUUCUUCACAAUGUGGAAUCAAUUUAUUAAUGUAUAAAUUGAAGGUAAAGUUUUCUAUAGUCUUUAAUCUAGAUCCUUGAAUGUUAAAAAAAAAAUGCUGCUUUUGCUUUCAUUGCAUAGGAUCUAGAGGCCUAGGGUAGAUUGCAUGUACAUAUACGACCUAAGGCAUGGGAAUAGAGAAAUCCAAGGUUCCUAUCAAUUGGUAUCAAAGCCCUAGGAUAGGUUUUUGCUUGUUAGAUUUGCUUUAGGGUGUGCUAACUUUGUUUUACAGGGUUGCUUGUUUCAUCCCAUGGCCAUAGGGAUGAGUGUUCAUGGAUUUUAAUUGGAAUAUGAUGGUCAUAACUGUGAUUUGUUUUUGCUUUCUUCUAGAUUGGGUUGUAAGCUUCGUGUUUAAGAGUAUAGGAUUUUUGUUGCAUUCUAAAAAUCUUAUUUUUAAUAAGUAGAUUGAUUGUAAACUCCAAACCAAUGGAGUAUAGGAUGUUGACAUAAAAUUCUAGUUUUAAAUCAAUCUUGUAACCCAUGGAAGGUAAGAAAACAAUCCAGGAUGUCCAAGUUAAGGGUUCUUUGCAAGUAGAUGAGUUGUUUAUAGUAAGUCCACAGGUUUAGACAAUCCAUUUGAGGCUGUAGUGCUCUAUCACUUAAUUGGAGGGAUGUUUUUUCUUAGUCAUUGGGAUGGGGUUCCCAUGUUGAGUGCACUAAUGUAUAUGGUUAGACAUUGAAUAUGACCUAUGAUGAGUCAUGACAUUGGCUAUUAGUUAGUCAUGACUUCACCAAACUAUUAUGUUGUAUGGGCUCUCAACCUUGAGUGAAUAUUGAGCUAGUGCUAAGGUUUUCAAUGGCUUUGACUUAUGAGUGAGAUCUUAAAGUAGUCCCAUAUUCCAAAUGGAUUGGGUCACUACUGAUUAAGGUGGGUGAUAACAAGUAUUCUUAAGAUAAGCACCAAGAUAUUUCAUGGGUUUGAGAAAGUGUGUCCCUAUAGGUAAUCCUAAGGACAUGUGAUAAGAAAAACUAUGACCACAAUAUUUCCUUAAGUGAAAUUUGACAUAUGCUCUUAGAAAGAUAUAGUAUGUCGGUUGAUCACAUAAUAGGAGGAUAUGAGACUCAAGAAUUAUAAAGGUAAUCUUGAGAGAUUGAUAACAUUCACCUUGUUAGAUUACAAACACCUAUUCAUGGUGAGCUUUCAUAUAAUGGUUAAUAUGUGACAUAUUGAUUACUACCAAAAAGUGCUAUUUUGUAGAUCUAAUUAUAAUGGUUUUAAGCACCUUUGAGUAGUAAUCAUAUUCAUUUAACCCAAUUAAUUCAUUAAGGUCCUUAGUAAUUGGUUUUAACCAUUUUGUGGCAAGUUUACAUGUUUUUAUUAGCUCAUGAACCAAUUCAAGCAUGCCAAUUGAUGGAGGAGCUACUUGGACAAGUUAAAGCAAGGAUUUUGGAAGUUUACAGGCUUGAAUUUCAAGUGGAAACACGAGCACAAGCAAUGGAGAAGAGGAAAAUAGAGUGAAGAAAACAGAGGACAGCAGCUGUAGUCUUCUUUAGCACUUUUAGAUCACUUCCCGAAGUCCAUUUUCUACAUGCUAUAUACCAUUUCAAAGCUCAGGAAGUCAAAAAUCCAACGCUUCAAACGGUGUACGAUUCGGAGUUGAAAUGAAGGAGUUAAAGCCAUUGGAAGCUGAUCACUCCAAGCUGAAGGAAGAUUUUUGCAUGGCUGCGAAAUUAGCCUUUUGCUGUGAGAAUUUCGCAGCCAUUUUGAACAGUGCACGGGUGUUCUCCUGAAGCUUCCCGAUAGUUGCGACCGACACUUUUGGAUAUUUUUCUUCAGAUAUUUUUGUAUAAAUUUCCAUUCUUCUCCUUGUAAUCCACCAACCAUAAGAUUUCUUAGCUAGGAAGGUUGGAAAAACGUCUCUAUAUAUAUUCCCUUGCAUCCACUGUAAUAGAUAUAGAAUCAUAUAUGUAAUAUCGAUCAAUAUAUAGAAUAUACAGAGCCUUGCUCUGUUUUUUUUCUCUCUUCUCCUGUUCUUCCCCAUUUCUAUUUUCUUAGUAGCCAAACAACCUCUGAGGGCUUUUCCUCAGAGGAUGAUUGGCUAAAACUUUUAGUUUCUCAAAGUAUGGAUGUUAUGUGAUGACUUGGAUGCAAUCCCAUGGAAAUUUCUCGCACCUGGAAGGUAAGGUAGUCGUUUUUCAUUAAUGGUUCAUUAAUGCAAAGUUUGGUUUUUAUUUCCUUUGGACAACUUCCAACGGCCAAUACUUGAUAAGCUUUUGGAUUUUUAUCCAUUAGUUAUCUCCUACGAGCUAUUGGAAGGUGAGGUUUUCAAUUCCAAGUUUUGCAUUAAUCUGUUAGAACCAAUUUCAAUGACCAUUGAAAGGUGAGUUUAUCACCUGGAAUGACCUUGAGUUGCCAAUAUUUGGUAAGCUUUUGGCUUUAAACCAUUAGUUAUCUCUUACGAGCCAUUCAAAGGAAGUCUAAGGUGAAUAACCAUUGAUGAAAUUCACUACCAUCUGUUUUGCCAUUUUAAAGGAUUAAAACUUGAUUUGCUAAAUCCAUACCGGUUCGAGAAGCAAACAUCACCAUAGUUGCAACCCCAACGCGAGGAGCCUAUCCUGAGAUUUCCAAUUUGCAUAAGAGUCAGAGCAUAGCUAUCCUAUCUUUGAGAAACUUGUUUUUACACCCUUUCAUUUUAAUCUUUAAUGUUAGCUUAGAUUAGUUUAAAUCUUUCUAAAACAUUUACAUCUUUAUGUUUUCUUUUAAAGCUAACUUUGAAAUGAAAAGGCACCAAUUCAUCUUUGAAUUAAUAUCAUUUGUGAAGUGAAAACCCAUCCCAGCGAACGAUCCUAGAACCACUAUGCUAUAGUAGCUUGGCUACUUUAGUAAUAGUAUUUAAGGUAUAAAUUUUGUUGAUACGCCUUUAAAGCUAAGCUACCAUGAGUCGAAUCACAUAUUAAAGCAUAAUAUCUUGAGUUAAUUUAAUAAUAUAAUGGACUGCAGUUGAUUCUCUAUAGUGUAAUGUUGAGUUAGCUUCAAAAUUGGAUUAUGAGGAAACUAUUAUUUUUCAAUGGGUCGUAAUGAUCCUCUCUUGAACGCAUAUUUUUUUAUGGUACAUUAUUUAAGGGAUAAUUGGGUUCUUAGUUCAUAUGUGCACAUAAGGGUAUUUUGGUAAUACAUAAGGUUACACAAGAGCUUAUGAAUAGUUUUUCCAUAUUAGACUGAUUAAUUAAUUAAAGCUCAAUCAAACUAAUUAAUUAAUUAGAACCUAGUGGACUAGAUUAAGUAAUCCAAACCCAAGAUGUGAUCAAAUUACUUAAGCCCAUAAAGAAGCCUACAUAAACCCUCUUAAGGGUUUAGGGCUUAUAUCUUUUGGCUAUUCAAUCUUCUAGAGAGAGGAAACCUAACCUCCAUCCCAAUAGAGAGGAUUCUACCAUUCUCAUAUGCCAAGAUUGAGGGAAAAGAGCAAUAAAGUAGAAGAUCUCUUGGUUUUCAAGAUAUGUAUCAUCUUUUCAUUGAUUGGAAUAGAUCUAAGAACAUCUAGAUCCCAAGUAUCACACAUAUUCUCAUGAUCCAUGUUCUAAUUACCUAUAUGAUUUUGUUACAUAGAUCUAGAGAAGCCUAGGAUCAUUUUUGUAUGCACCCUAACAAUUUAGUGCAUGGGAUGGUUUUCCAAGCCAUUCCUACAAGCCUUGGUUAUUUGGGAUUCUCUAUAAUGUAUUGUAUUAUCAACAAUUCUUAUAGACAUCCUUUAAAAAUAAUUAGAAGAUUUUGGUUCCUAAUGAUUACAAUUGUGUUGUCUGUUCACAAAUUAAAUUAAUUAUUAAACCAUAUUUCAUCAAAGUUGUAUUUAAAUCCUCAGCCUUUUUAAAAUGCAUUCAAGGGGGCAUUUGUGGGUUCAUUCACCUAUCUACUAGAUCAUUUCAUUAUUUUAUGGUUUUAAUUGAUUUAUUAACUCGAUAACCUCAUGUUUGUCUUUUUUCAACUUCAAUUAAUGUUACCUUUGCUAGAUUACUUACUUGAAUAAUUUGAUUUACAACUCCUUGAUCACCUUAUUAAGAUAAUUUAAAUUGAUAAUACUUGCGAAUUCUCCUUGCAAACAUUCGUUGAUUAUUGUAUAUCGGUUGGUAUUAUUGUUGAGCAUCUUAUUACUCAUACUUAUACCUAUAAUGGAUCAAUUGAAUCUCUUAUUAAGUGCUUGUUGCUUUAAGGAAUAAAUAUUUGAAAGAAUAGGAGAGUAUAGGUUUGUCAUAUCCUUAAAUGUAGACUAGUGCAAUACUAGGAUCAAUCUAUCAGGAAAUUUUCUCCUUAGUUGUGAGAAAAACUUGCUAAAAAGCACCGAACUGUUUGUAUAAGGUUAAGUUAAAGUGUUUGUUGAAAUGAAAGAUAACAAUUUUAUAGACAAAAAUUAGGUGUACACUUUUCCCUUAAUUUAGUCCUCUUCUUUGAGUGAGAUAAUCCUUUUUAGUAUUCUAAGUUAGGUGUACCUUUUUGAUGCUCAAACUCACUCCCAAUGUUGCUUAGCUUGUCACCCUCACAACUUUACAAAAAGUAUUUACUAUGAUAAAAACCUAAUUUCACUUCAUCUACUGUGGUUAGCUUCAAGGAGAGUGGGAGAUACUAAGGUUCAAACAUACUACUAGAAUUGCUUAGCUUGUGGCCCUUCACAAUUUUGUACCAUGGAUUUGCUACAACUAUCAACUUUGUUUUCCUAUCCACUGCAUUAUUAAACCAAGUUGUAAGAGGUACCAUCCUCUUUCAACCCACACCACUUAAUUAUCUACUUUAUUUUUCAUUAAUUAAAGAGAAUAAAUGCUUCAAGGCUUGUUAAUUCAAAAAUGAAAGUGAGGGUCAACAAAAGAGACUAAAACAAGAUGACCUUUCUUCUCAAAAGUAGAAAUUUUAUAAAUCAUCAAGAAAGUCAUACAAAGAUAUUACCAAGGAAAACUAACUUUGAACUUCUCUAUUACUAAAUUUUAUUUUCUUUCUUUUUCUUUUUCUUUUUAACUACUUUCAACUCUUUGUACAAAAAUUGUAUAUGUAUGGACUCAAAUGAUAUACAACUUUUUUCUUUUUCUCUUUGUUGUUUCUCUUCAACUACUUUUCUCUUUCUAACUACUUUCCCCACCCAUGUGUGAAGGCUUAAAAGUCUUAGCUAUUAAGAACUUUGGAUUACUUCUUUCUUUGCCUUGAAUCCUAUAAGGUGCUUGUUAUCUAUCUUUAGGCUCUUUAGAUGUAAUGUACAAAAAAUAAUGGCUAUAAAAAUAUAAUCAAUCAUAGAUCUAAAGAUAUAGAAGUCAUAUAUGCAAUCUGGAUGUUCCUAGAUUGAAUCCAAUCCAAAGAGAAUGUUGAAUCCACGGUAGUCAUUGUUGAUUUUGUCUACCACAAUCUUCCAUCUGAUUUCCCCCUUCAUGAGAUCUUGACACGAGAGGGGUGGGCUUCUCUUCCUCUCUUAAGGGUGGCUAGGGUUUGCUUUGUCUCUUUAGAAGAUGAUAAACAAAGUGCCAAAAUGGUAAACCUUAAACCCUUGAGGGGUUUCAUAUGGGGUUCUUUGUGGGCUUAAGUGACUUGAACCCAAAUUGGGUUUGGGUCACUUAAUCCUACCUACUCGAGUCUUAAUUAAUUAUUUAACCUUAUUGGGUUCCAAUUAAUUAAUUAGCCCAAUUCAAAAAUACCAUUCAUAAGAUUUAUUGCAACCUUACAUUUUUAUCGAAACACCCUUAUGCACACUUAUAAACUACAAACCUAAAUCUUUCAAAUAAAACUUGCUACCAUGAACUAGGGGCAUAAACAAGGACUCAUAGGAAAAUACUGGCUCCCACUAAAUCCAAUUUUGAAGUUGAGUCAAUACUCUAUUAAAUAAAGUCAAUUGCACUCUAGUUUCUUAUGAUAUAACAACGAGACAAAGCUCGAGUCCAUGACUUACUAUCCAUUGCAUGUAGACUCCUUAUGAAUUGGUUUCUAUGAUCUAAUGAGGUAAAUGCUAUCAUCCUCUUAAGAUCACCUCUCCAAUCCUUGAGUUAUAGAUCCUCUAAUUACAUAAUCAAUUGACAUACCCCUAGCUUAUAAAGUGCAUUUGUCAAAUUUCACUUAAAGAAUUACUAUGACCACAAAUUUUAUGAUCACAUGUCCUUAGAAUCACCCAAGGGGACACACUGUCUCAAUCCCAUGAGAUAUCAUGGUGCCAUUAUCAAGAAUUUCUAUUGUCACCAGCUUUCAUCAAUAGUAACCUAAUCUAUAAGGAAUAUAUGACCACCUUAUGGUUUCACCUAUAGGUUAAAGUCUCCUGUUGGUUUUAUCAUAGACUUAAUAUCCUCUCAAGUUUGAGAGUCCAUGCAAUAUAGUAGCUUGGUGAAGGCAACUUGAUAUUCUUACUUCAUGACUUACCAUAGGUUCUAUCCAAUGUGUAACUAUAGAUAUUAGUACACUCACCAUGGGAACUCUAUCUAAAUGGCUAAGACAAGUCAUCUCUCCAAUUAAGGGAUAGUGCACUACAAUCUCUAUUGGAUUGCCCAAAUCUAUGAACCGUUUGUGAACUACUUAUCAUCUUGUAAGGAACUAAUGCCUUGUAUCUUUUGUGCAACUCUCAUGCACCUAAUUCAUGUAUAAUGCAAGUGAUAUGAGCCUGAAUGCUCAAAUUAAUAUUAAUACGAAUGGUCGAUAGAGAAGUGGAAACUUAAGUAUAACUUUGUUACAUUAUGCCUUGCUUUUAAGGGCUUUAUCCUAACAAACUUUUACUAGCCCUAAAUGUAGACUGGGCAUCGCAAAAAUUUGAUCUAUUGUCACUUCACUUCUCUAAACUGCCUCACAAAACAUGUAUUACUUUCUCUUUAUGCAUUUUCUUUUCUAGUGAUUCCUUGGUUCUUUAGAUUGUGACACCAUACCACUAUUAUCAUAAAAUAGGAUCUUACAUGAUAUAAACAAGAGAACUACCCCAAAGCCUUACAGUUUCUUUGUUACUUUAGAAGUUACAACAAAUACCACCUAGAGUAUGCACAUACCUAGAGGCUGAUCGGUGGAGUCCUCAUUAGAUUGAAAGUGUCAAUCUUGGUACCUAAGGAGUGCCAACUUAUUGCAAAAACUUACAAGCAUAUAAUCUUUCAUUCUCCUAAGAUACUUCACUAUAUGCUUAACAUCCACCUAAACUCUAAUCCUCAAUUGGACUGAUAUCUACUCACUAUCCUUACAACAAAGCAAAUAUCCGAUCUAACACAUAAUGUCACAUACAUAGGGUUGCCCAUUGCAUAGACAUAAGGUACCGCUUUAAUGUGAUUGUUUUUCUCAAAUGUCCAAGGACAUCGAUCCUAAGAAAGGGGACUCAAAACCUAAGGGAUAACAAACCCUUCUUGGAGUCCUAUAUCAUGUACUUGACCAAAUGUUAGUCAAUGUAGAUGACAUUGUGCAAUUUUCCUAUUCUUGUAGUCUUAAAGGGCUUUAAUCCCAAGAAUAUAUUAUGCCCUUUAUAGAUUUUCAACUAAAAUUGAGUAGACAGUGAGAUCUUAAUUGAUCACAAUAUCCCUACAUCAUUCUCAAUGAGUAGAUUGUCAUCUACCUACAAGAUCGUAGGGCACCACCAUGCUUUGUUGUGCCUUUUACACAAGACCCUUUACUAUGAAAAUGUCAAGUUGCAUGAUAUAUAUAUUAACAUCAAACUAAUUGUUUAAGAGUACUAUCUAGAUAUCCAAUUGCCAUAUCUCAUAAUUGAGAUGUGUUGCAAUAGAUAUGAGUACUCUGAUGAAUUUUAGUAUGGUUAUUGGUAAAAUGAUUUCCUAUAGUCAAAACAAUGUUUUGAACUAUAAUAUUUAACUACAAUCCUAGCCAUAUGAGUCUCAACCAUUCCAUCUUUCCCAUGUAUGAACACUAAAAGGUCCACACACAUAAGUGUAUAUGUACUAAUUGCAAACAUUUCUUGACUCUAUAUCCUUUAGCAAUAAAGUGCCUCUUGGUUAUUUUACCACUUAUACAAGAUUCAUAGACUGGAAGAUUUUCUAGAUUUAAAAUGUUCAGAAUUAGCCAGUCUUUGGAUUCUAUUUAGAUUAAUAUGACCUAGGCUUUAAAAUCCAAAUUCUUGAUUAGUAUUAGGUUUAUUCCUAUUAGUGAGAUUUGAUAAUUCUCAUUUCAUGAAAAAAGUGAAAAUGGAGUCAUACAUAAAAGAGAUAAAAUACCUUCCACUAGUGGGCUUGGAAUCUAUCCACCAUAACUAGUGAGAUUCACCACUAUAUAAUCAAGAAUGAGAAAAUGAUGCAUACUUUCUGACCGAAAUUUCUCUAUUGUACCAAAAUACUUAGCCUUUUUACGUAGUAACUCCGGUGAAGAAAAACUAGAGAAAGAGUCACUACGGCUUUUGUAGUAUUCCGGGUAUCGUUCUCAAGGACUGGCUUAUGAAAAUUGUCAAUACUAGAAUAAAUGAAUUGUUUUUGUUUAAAUCCUUAAGUGAAAAACAAUAUGUGAAUAAUGUGAAACUAAGUAAAAGAAGUUAAAUUAAUAAGAAAAAAAUGAAUAUUGAUUUUAAAUUCAAUUGAUUCAAGUUUGGGGUUU